RNAcentral lists this ribosomal RNA (331 nucleotides) under uncultured bacterium. RNAcentral describes it as "bacterial SSU rRNA". It matches the Rfam family "Bacterial small subunit ribosomal RNA", at positions 8 to 334 of the family's 1533-position model. The record is from RNAcentral.
AGGGUUUGAUCAUGGCUCAGGAUGAACGCUGGCGGCGUGCUUAACACAUGCAAGUCGAACGAAGCGAGAGGAGCUUGCUCCUCAAGCUUAGUGGCGGACGGGUGAGUAACGUGUGGGCAACCUGCCUUUUACAGGGGAAUAAUCACUGGAAACGGUGACUAAUACCGCAUACGAUCUUCGGAAGGCAUCUUCUGGAGAGGAAAGGAGCAAUCUGGUAAAAGAUGGGCCCGCAUCUGAUUAGCUAGUUGGUGAGAUAAUAGCCCACCAAGGCAACGAUCAGUAGCCGACCUGAGAGGGUGAUCGGCCACAUUGGGACUGAGACACGGCCCAA